AUGAGGCUGCUGACUGGAGUAACUGUGUUUCUGACCUUGGGGACUAUAAUUGAUGCUAAGACUACCCAGCCCAACUCCAUGGAUUGUGCUGAAGGAGAAGAUGUAAACCUGCCUUGUAACCACUCUACCAUAGGUGGAGAGGACUAUAUACAUUGGUAUCGGCAAAACCCCAAUCAGAGUCCACAGUAUGUCAUUCAUGGCUUCCAAAGCACUGAGACCAACAGCAUGGCCUCACUGACCAUAGCUACAGACAGAAAGUCCAGCACCUUGGUCCUGCCCCAGGUUACCCUGAGAGACACCGCUGUGUACUACUGCAUCCUGAGGACAGAUGGACAAAGUGUAUUGAAAAGCAAGGAGAUUAUGUUGGAAAAU
Hippopotamus amphibius kiboko is the source of this 372-nucleotide non-coding RNA. Lineage: Eukaryota; Metazoa; Chordata; Mammalia; Artiodactyla; Hippopotamidae. The record is from the annotation of a RefSeq genome assembly.